This 433-nucleotide ribosomal RNA is filed under the name uncultured bacterium. Its description in RNAcentral is "partial 16S ribosomal RNA". It matches the Rfam family "Bacterial small subunit ribosomal RNA", at positions 29 to 507 of the family's 1533-position model. The record is from RNAcentral.
AACGAACGCUGGCGGCAUGCCUAACACAUGCAAGUCGAACGAGACCUUCGGGUCUAGUGGCGCACGGGUGCGUAACGCGUGGGAACCUGCCCUUAGGUUCGGAAUAACUCCCCGAAUGGGGUGCUAAUACCGGAUAAUGUCUUCGGACCAAAGAUUUAUCGCCUUUGGAUGGGCCCGCGUUGGAUUAGCUAGUUGGUAGGGUAAAAGCCUACCAAGGCGACGAUCCAUAGCUGGUCUGAGAGGAUGAUCAGCCACACUGGGACUGAGACACGGCCCAGACUCCUACGGGAGGGAAGAAGGGGGGAUAUUGGAAAAUGGGGGGAAGGCUGAUCCCACCAUGCCCGGGGAGUGAUGAAAGCCUUAGGGUUGUAAAGCUCUUUUAACCGGGAAGGUAAUGACAGUACCGGGGAAAAAAGCCCCGGCUAACUCCGUG